GACGAACGCUGGCGGCGUGCUUAACACAUGCAAGUCGAACGAGUGGCGAACGGGUGCGUAAUACGUGGGUAACUGCCCGAUAGAGGGGGAUAACUACUGGAAACGGUGGCUAAUACCGCAUACUGUCGGAUCACCCAUAUGGGAUUAGUUAGUAGGUAAGGUAAUGGCUUACCUAGGCGACGAUCCCUAGCUGGGCUGAGAGGAUGGUCAGCCACACUGGGCCUGAGACACGGCCCAGACUCCUACGGAGGCAGCAGUGGGGAAUAUUGCACAAUGGGCGCAAGCCUGAUGCAGCCAUGCCGCGGGUGUGAAGAAGGCCCUAGGGUUGUAAAGUAUUUUCAGUCGGGAGGCGUUACCGACAGAAGAAGCACCGGCUAACUCCGUGCCAGCAGCCGCGGUAAUUC
RNAcentral lists this ribosomal RNA (404 nucleotides) under uncultured bacterium. Its description in RNAcentral is "partial 16S ribosomal RNA". It matches the Rfam family "Bacterial small subunit ribosomal RNA", at positions 28 to 526 of the family's 1533-position model. The record is from RNAcentral.